RNAcentral lists this transfer RNA (75 nucleotides) under Calothrix sp. NIES-4105. Its description in RNAcentral is "tRNA-Met". It matches the Rfam family "tRNA". Rfam says of the family: Transfer RNA (tRNA) molecules are approximately 80 nucleotides in length. Their secondary structure includes four short double-helical elements and three loops (D, anti-codon, and T loops). Lineage: Bacteria; Bacillati; Cyanobacteriota; Cyanophyceae; Nostocales; Calotrichaceae. The record is from RNAcentral. RNAcentral also lists the same sequence under 1 other name.
UCCAGGGUUGGCCGAUCGGUUUAGGCAACGAACUCAUAAUUCGUCCCAGACAGGUUCAACUCCUGUACCCUGGAU